CACCGGCGGCCCGAGUGGUAGCCGCUAUUAUUGGGUCUAAAGGGUCCGUAGCCGGUUCGAUAAGUCCUCUGGGAAAUCUGGUUGCUUAACAAUCAGACUGCCAAGGGAUACUGUCGAACUUGAGACCGGGAGAGGUAAGAGGUACUUCAGGGGUAGGAGUGAAAUCUUGUAAUCCCUGGGGACCAUCUGUGGCGAAGGCGUCUUACCAGAACGGGUCUGACGGUGAGGGACGAAAGCUGGGGGCGCAAAACCGGAUUAGAUACCCGGGUAGUCCCAGCCGUAAACGAUGCUCGCUAUGUGUCAGGUACGGUGUGACCGUAUCUGGUGCCGUAGGGAAGCCGUGAAGCGAGCCACCUGGGAAGUACGGCCGCAAGGCUGAAAACUUAAAGGAAUUGGCGGGGGAGCACUACAACGGGUGGAGCCUGCGGUUUAAUUGGAUUCAACGCCGGAAAUCUUACCGGGGGAGACAGCAGCAUGAAGGUCAGGCUGAAGACCUUACCAGAUCCGCUGAGAGGAAGUGCAUGGCCGUCGUCAGUUCGUACUGUGAAGCAUCCUGUUAAGUCAGGCAACGAGCGAGACCCGUGCCCACAGUUGCCAGCAUGCCCUUCGGGGGAUGGGUACUUUGUGGGGACCGCCGCUGCCUAAAGCGGAGGAAGGAGCGGGUUACGGUAGGUCAGUAUGCCCCGAAUCUCCCGGGCUACACGCGGGCUACAAUGGUUGGACAAUGGGCACCUACCCUGAAAAAGGGACGGUAAUCUCCUAAACCCAACCGUAGUUCGGAUUGAGGGCUGUAACUCGCCCUCAUGAAGCUGGAAUCCGUAGUAAUCGCGUUUUCAAACAUAGCGCGGUGAAUACGUCCCUGCUCCUUGCACACA
RNAcentral lists this ribosomal RNA (875 nucleotides) under uncultured archaeon. RNAcentral's name for it is "bacterial SSU rRNA". It matches the Rfam family "Archaeal small subunit ribosomal RNA", at positions 474 to 1345 of the family's 1478-position model. The record is from RNAcentral.